This 301-nucleotide ribosomal RNA is filed under the name uncultured bacterium. RNAcentral describes it as "partial 16S ribosomal RNA". It matches the Rfam family "Bacterial small subunit ribosomal RNA", at positions 509 to 809 of the family's 1533-position model. The record is from RNAcentral.
CAGCCGCCACGGUAAAACGUAGGUGGCAAGCGUUGUCCGGAAUUAUUGGGCGUAAAGCGCGCGCAGGCGGAUAGGUCAGUCUGUCUUAAAAGUUCGGGGCUUAACCCCGUGAUGGGAUGGAAACUGCCAGUCUAGAGUAUCGGAGAGGAAAGUGGAAUUCCUAGUGUAGCGGUGAAAUGCGUAGAUAUUAGGAAGAACACCAGUGGCGAAGGCGACUUUCUGGACGAAAACUGACGCUGAGGCGCGAAAGCCAGGGGAGCGAACGGGAUUAGAUACCCGCGUAGUCCCUGUCUCUUAUACA